RNAcentral lists this ribosomal RNA (492 nucleotides) under uncultured bacterium. RNAcentral's name for it is "partial 16S ribosomal RNA". It matches the Rfam family "Bacterial small subunit ribosomal RNA", at positions 29 to 507 of the family's 1533-position model. The record is from RNAcentral.
AGUGAACGCUGGCGGUAGGCCUAACACAUGCAAGUCGAACGGCAGCACAGUAAGAGCUUGCUCUUACGGGUGGCGAGUGGCGGACGGGUGAGGAAUACAUCGGAAUCUACUUUUUCGUGGGGGAUAACGUAGGGAAACUUACGCUAAUACCGCAUACGACCUACGGGUGAAAGCAGGGGAUCUUCAGACCUUGCGCGAUUGAAUGAGCCGAUGUCGGAUUAGCUAGUUGGCGGGGUAAAGGCCCACCAAGGCGACGAUCCGUAGCUGGUCUGAGAGGAUGAUCGGCCACACUGGAACUGAGACACGGUCCAGACUCCUACGGGAGGCAGCAGUGGGGAAUAUUGGACAAUGGGCGCAAGCCUGAUCCAGCCAUACCGCGUGGGUGAAGAAGGCCUUCGGGUUGUAAAGCCCUGUUGUUGGGAAAGAAAAGCAGCAGGAUAAUACCCCGCUGUUCUGACGGUACCCAAAGAAUAAGCACCGGCUAACUUCGUG